UACGGAGGGAGCUAGCGUUGUUCGGAAUUACUGGGCGUAAAGCGCGCGUAGGCGGCUUUGUAAGUUAGAGGUGAAAGCCCGGGGCUCAACUCCGGAACUGCCCUUAAGACUGCAUCGCUUGAAUCCGGGAGAGGUGAGUGGAAUUCCGAGUGUAGAGGUGAAAUUCGUAGAUAUUCGGAAGAACACCAGUGGCGAAGGCGGCUCACUGGACCGGUAUUGACGCUGAGGUGCGAAAGCGUGGGGAGCAAACAGG
Molecule: ribosomal RNA, 253 nt
Filed under: uncultured bacterium
Lineage: Bacteria
Description: partial 16S ribosomal RNA
Rfam family: Bacterial small subunit ribosomal RNA
Source: RNAcentral